GUCGUGCACUAUUGCAUAAGCAGAGCCGUGGCUGAUUUGCAAAUGAUUUGCCACAUUAUCCAGUGUCACUCGUCUAUUCCAUAGAGCAUAAGUUCAUGAGCACGUUCAAUGUUGUCAUCGUGGAUGUGGACGGGCGUCCAGCUGUUUUUUCAUAACACUCGUGCGAUCUUCUUUGAACUUUUGUGCCCAUUCAAACACACUUCGUGACAAAACACUUUCUCCAUAAUGUGCAUUAAAUCUUUGAUAAAUAUAGGCAUCAAACAUAACCUCCGACCACAAGAAACGAAUCACAGCAUCCUGCACUGUUUUCCUGCAAAUCACCAUUGCAAAGCGCCAUUACUCGCGCAACGGUCACAAACGAAUUGACGUAACACAAAGAAACCUGCGCAACAGCACUGAACAGAUAUUGACGUCAUACGAAGAGUGCAGAUGGAUCAAUACGGUCGACAGAAGUUUUAACUAUCUGGAGUGCGGAUAAAUUUUUACUGAGAGUCGUAUAGGAAUCUAUAAUCUAGUACUUUCCAAAAUACGCCGAGAGUAUUCCUGAUGGUGAAACGAGCGUUGCUUCAUCGAACGCAGCUAAAGAAAACAACAUCUAUGUAGUUGGUGGUACGAUGCCUGAAAUAGAGGGCGCUAAAUUGUACAAUACCUGUACUAUUUGGGGUCCCGAUGGAACUUUGAUAGCAAAACACCGAAAGGUACAUCUAUUCGACAUCGACAUUCCUAAUAAGAUUACUUUUCGAGAGAGUGAUUCACUCAGUCCUGGUAACUCCCUAACGACGUUCGAUGUGAAGGGCUGCAAAAUAGGUAUUGGCAUUUGCUAUGAUAUUAGAUUCGAGGAAAUGGCACGCAUUUAUCGGAACAAAGGUUGCCAAAUGCUGAUAUAUCCAGCGGCAUUCAAUAUGACCACUGGACCACUGCACUGGUCAUUACUUCAGCGUUUCAGAGCGAAUGAUAAUCAAUUAUACGUUGCCUGCAUAUCACCGGCUCGUGUUCCUUAAGCAAGUUACGUCGCAUGGGGACAUACACAGUUGACCAAUCCCUGGGGAAAGAUUCUUUACGAUUUGGAAACUCAAGAGAAUAUGGCAGUCACCGAUAUCGAUCUAAAAGUUGUUGAGGAAGUAAGGGCUCAGAUACCUACAUUUUCUCAGAGACGUACAGAUUUGUACGACACUGUCUGUAAGAAGGAGUAACUCUACACUAAAACAGAAAAUGUUUUUUUAUAAUAUUUCUACUACGAUAUCCUUUUUUUUGUGAAUUAUUACUAAUUUCUUAUCAUUUGUACUAAAUGAAUGACUCAAUUAAGAAAACCAAAACGUUAUAAAUAAUAAUCUGUAUAUCUUGUGUAUCAACAUGUAAUUGGAUAUUAUAAUAAUAUAGGAAUGCUAUAAUAAUAUAGGAUAAUAAUAUAGGAGAAUAGUAAUAUAGAAAAAAACUACAUGCUUUUAAACACCUUUAAUAUCGAUCACAUAAAUUGUUAUAAUUCACAAUGAUUACGCAUACAUAAAAGACCCCUUGAUAGUAAAAUUUACGAUCAAAAGGCAAUUACGUAUCGUUUAACAACAUUUAAUUUAUAACACCUUUUAAACAUUUAGACAGAUUAACACAUAACACUUCUUAUAUAUAAACAUCAAUUCGAAGUUAUCAGCUUGGAGAAAUUGGUCGAUUAAUACCUGUAGAUUGUCUGUCUCGAUGAAAGACUUAAAGAGAGCAAAAACAUGAUAAUGCCGCUAAUAUAAUAUUCCUUCUUUCUUGUAUCUGUCUGCCUCUCAGGUCGUUUUACUAAUUACAAUAAGUAAUUUCGCCUUCUUUGCGCUCUCUUUUAACGCAUUCGAGACCGAAAGAAAUUCAUAUCAGUCAGUAGGCAAGGGUAUAGUAUACAUAUUUUAUAUAUAACUUAUGUAGUAAUGUAUAUAUCAUGUUAAUUUCAUAUUUUUUUCAAUAUAGAAUUAUUAUAUAUAUAUAUGACUGUACAUAAUACAUUAUAGAAUAACAUAGUAUAUAAUUUUAUAUUUUAAAAAUAUGAGGCAUACUAUUUAAGAUUGUCAUCGAUUUAAAAUCAAAGUAUGAAAAGGAUACCCUGGAGAGAGUAAAACACAGAAUCAUUCUAACUAAACAUUCAGAUCGUACCGACACCUAGGUAUCGUCUUACAAUUAAAUCUCGGUCUCGAAUGGAUUAAAAUGAAAUACAUACUUGCAGCUUCAACAUCUUCAAUAUCGAGAAGAUUCAAACUUUACAAAUAAAUGUAAAUUGCGAUGUAAAACAACGCGAUGUAAAAAGGGAAAAAGGAGGAAAGAAGGAACAGGGAAGCAAAGAGAAGAAACGAAUUUUUCAUUUUCUCUUGCCAGGAAUAUAAGAUGCUAAGUAAUCUUCCUAAGUAAUCUCCUCCAGCUUUUUCUAGUUUGAUCAAUAAUUAUUAGUACAUGUUAGGAAAACAAAUAGAAUUUUUGUUCUCAAGCGAGGUAUAAUCUAAAUUUUGUAUGUACACAAAAAUGUUAAAUAUCUGUAAUAAACAUGGUAUAAUCAA
This is a long non-coding RNA of Bombus huntii, 2528 nucleotides long. RefSeq lists it as uncharacterized. The record is from RefSeq and is a predicted model, not a curated record. The transcript has 5 exons. NCBI's taxonomy places the organism in Eukaryota, Metazoa, Arthropoda, Insecta, Hymenoptera, Apidae.